AUGAUGGGGGGGGUGGUAGAUGGUGUUAUUACUGAAGUGCCUUGUGGAUCUCCUUCCCUAAGGGUAUAGCUCAGUUACCCAUCCAGAGGAACCUGGGUUUUGUUCAGUAGGGCGAAGUGCUUUGAAAUGAAAAUUCAAAACCAGUGUUUUUCUUAUUGGACCAGGUCCAGGUAGGCCCUCCCUGUUCGAGUCAGUUUUUUUUCUUUUGAUGAACACAACCCUGAUGAACACAACCCUGAUGAACACAACCCUGUCAGCCUUGGCUGUGUUACUGUUGUCUGGUAAUGAGAAUGAAAGACCAGUCUUGAUCUAUUAUGCUGUAUCUGUGUAUCCACCCUACUAGUCACACAGAAUCUGCUUUAAACUGACCUGUGCAGGCUGUGAUAAGAGUUCUGUUUGGGGGGGGGGGCUUAUGUGUGUUUUUAGUGAGUUAUUUUACAAGGGAAAUGCUUAUCGAAGGCCCUUAUCUUAUUUUGUCCAGUAGGUAUGUACAGUAGGUAUGUGUCAGAAAGGCCUGAGGGUUGAAUCAUGACCAGUACAGUAGGUAUGUGUCAAAGGCCUGAGGGUUGAAUCAUGACCAGUACAGUAGGUAUGUGUCAAAAAGGCCUGUGGGUUGAAUCAUGACCAGUACAGUAGGUAUGUGUCAGAAAGGCCUGAGGGUUGAAUCAUGACCAGUACAGUAGGUAUGUGUCAAAGGCCUGAGGGUUGAAUCAUGACCAGUACAGUAGGUAUGUGUCAAAAAGGCCUGUGGGUUGAAUCAUGACCAGUACAGUAGGUAUGUGUCAAAAAAGCUUGUGGGUUGAAUCAUGACCACUACAGUAGGUAUGUGUCAGAAAGGCCUGUGGGUUGAAUCAUGACCAGUACAGUAGGUAUGUGUCAGAAAGGCCUGUGGGUUGAAUCAUGACCAGUACAGUAGGUAUGUGUCAGAAAUGAAACCCUAGUCCUAACAAAGUGCUCUACUGUUGACCAGGGUCUAUGGUCUCUGGUUGAAAGUAGGUCACUGAGUGUACAAAAUAUUAGGAACACCUGCUCUUUCCAUGACAGACUGACCAGGUGAAAGCUAUGAUCCCUUAUUGAUGUCACUUGUUAAAUCCACUUGCACAUGGAUUGUGCAUGUGUGCCAUUGAGGGUCAAUGGGCAAUCAACAUAUUGAAAUGCCUUUGAACAGGGUUUGGUAACAGGUGUCAGGCGCACCGGUUUCAGUGUCAAGAUCUGCAACAGCUUUCUGUGUGGAUUAAGAAAGGACCACCACUCAAAGGACAUCCAACCAACUUGACACAACUGUGGGAAGCAUUGGAGUCAACAUUUCUGAAUCUUAUUUUGGUCCAUUAUCAAUUGUUGAAGGGAAAGUAUGUUUUUAUAUCUAAAUUCUAUGCAUUUUAUUUUCUCGGUGUAUUUUCCAUUGAAUACAAACAGUGCUCUGACAUGUAUAUAGCCACCAUGAAAUCACGUGGGAGUGGGGGUUUAUGUAUAUCUUUCUUUCAACAGGAUACUUUUGAACUAUUCAAUAAUGGUUUAGUGAUUAAACUGACACUUGUGAAAUAUUA
Molecule: long non-coding RNA, 1547 nt
Organism: Oncorhynchus kisutch (coho salmon)
Lineage: Eukaryota; Metazoa; Chordata; Actinopteri; Salmoniformes; Salmonidae
Exons: 2
Source: RefSeq, a predicted model, not a curated record